CAGGCUAUUAACUAUCAUGAAGCCAAACUCGAGAUUUCCCAGAACUAGAAGAGACUACUCCGAGCUAAUGAGGAGUUUCUUUAGGAAUUAAUAUUGGAAUUAAUUUUAGAAUUUUGUUCAAUUUGUCUUUGGUUAUUUGUUUGGUCGAGAUCUGGAUGUGUUUGAUUUUGGGUUGGAGUUGUGGAUUUUGAAUGUUGGUGGAAAGCAUUGGUUCGUAGUUUGAGUGGUUGACAUAGGUAGCAAGAAUUGAAGAAAGUAUGACAAUUGAAGGUGCAUUUCAUGGUUUUAUCGGUGUGGGUGGUGGUUGUGGUGUGGUGCAUGGUUGGGGUUGAACAAGGCGGAGGAGGUGGCUGGGUUUGCUUACAGGGGUG
This 371-nucleotide long non-coding RNA is filed under the name Prunus persica (peach). Its description in RNAcentral is "long non-coding RNA (PPER_LNC006560)". Lineage: Eukaryota; Viridiplantae; Streptophyta; Magnoliopsida; Rosales; Rosaceae. The record is from RNAcentral.